UCUNCCGCAAUGGACGAAAGUCUGACGGAGCNACGCCGCGUGCGUGAUGAAGGUUUUCGGAUCGUAAAACUCUGUUGUUAGGGAAGAACAAGUACCGUUCGAAUAGGGCGGUACCUUGACGGUACCUAACCAGAAAGCAACGGCUAACUAAGUGCCAGCAGCCGAGGUAAUACGUAGGUGGCAAGCGUUGUCCGGAAUUAUUGGGCGUAAAUCGCGCGAAGGCGGUUUCUUAAGUCUGAUGUGAAAGCCCCCGGCUCAACCGGGGAGGGUCAUUGGAAACUGGGGAACUUGAGUGCAGAAGAGGAGAGUGGAAUUCCACGUGUAGCGGUGAAAUGCGUAGAGAUGUGGAGGAACACCAGUGGCGAAGGCGACUCUCUGGUCUGUAACUGACGCUGAGGCGCGAAAGCGUGGGGAGCGAACAG
RNAcentral lists this ribosomal RNA (422 nucleotides) under uncultured bacterium. RNAcentral describes it as "bacterial SSU rRNA". It matches the Rfam family "Bacterial small subunit ribosomal RNA", at positions 362 to 775 of the family's 1533-position model. The record is from RNAcentral.